This 673-nucleotide long non-coding RNA is filed under the name Bos taurus (domestic cattle). RNAcentral's name for it is "long non-coding RNA NONBTAT017698". The record is from RNAcentral. Lineage: Eukaryota; Metazoa; Chordata; Mammalia; Artiodactyla; Bovidae.
GAGAGAAGAGCAUGCAGUCAGGGUGGGGCUCACAGGAGGAGGAGCCAAGGGAACCUCCUGGUGACGUGAGAGGCUUCCUCCUCAUAGGAGGUCUCUAGGAAAUGCCUGUCCCUUCAGAAGAGAAAGGACCGAAGUAGGGCUCCAGAAUUACCCAGGACUUGUCCACCAUGUGGAAGCCCCUGCUCAUCCUUGAAUGCUGAGCUAAAGGGCCGUUUUCGGGAAGCCUGAGUUCCCAGAGUUCAGUGUACACCCGUCUCGUGGCAGUGUUUACGGUUCUUGGGCGCAUCUUUUCUCUGUCUCCACUGCAGUGAGCUCCUGGAGCUUAGGGACUAGGGUUCUGAGCUGCCACGACCAGCACGAGACCAGCACGAAGCUGUUUUCUAACAGGACUCAGGUGGAUGAACUGGAGGCCAGCCUACCUGCUGAGGAAACUAGCAGUCGUGUUCCAGAUCCCCUAAGUCCUCGAGGUGGUGUCAGCCCCGCUCAAGCUGGCACUCUUUGGCUUCCAUCUGCUCCUAGACUAAUUCAGAAACGUCUUCCUUCCCCUGUUUACUCAAGUGUCUUGGAAAAUUAGCUCCCUAAGCCCUCACGCUACCAGUGAGUUUGUCUGAGUUUGAAGGUGGAUAAAUGUUGCCACACCUGAGUCAAUAAAGAAUGAAUCAGUGUGCCCCUC